RNAcentral lists this ribosomal RNA (313 nucleotides) under Triticum aestivum (bread wheat). Its description in RNAcentral is "partial small subunit ribosomal RNA". The record is from RNAcentral. Lineage: Eukaryota; Viridiplantae; Streptophyta; Magnoliopsida; Poales; Poaceae.
GUAGGUGUGUUUUUGUGUUCAAGCAGUAAGGAUAGGACUAUCGAGACAGUUGAGAGCAACGUGAACGAAACGAGAACCCCCACAAGUUAAAAACCAACUCUUCCUCUAUGUUUAGGUCACUCUCUUAACCGGUAAGUAUGUACCUCUACUUUUCCUAUUGUAUACCACUGUAUUAGUUUCGUUGCCUAUCAGAAAGAGAUCGGUUGCAUCAACCGAGGUCCGUUAAACCCUGACAGAUGUUUCCAACCAAACUGCGCCUUCUACCAUGCCAACAACAAUUUCAGAAGUUCGAGUUAUUCGUGCCGCGUAACGU